This 807-nucleotide ribosomal RNA is filed under the name Bacillus sp. U0905. RNAcentral describes it as "bacterial SSU rRNA". It matches the Rfam family "Bacterial small subunit ribosomal RNA", at positions 69 to 860 of the family's 1533-position model. The record is from RNAcentral. Lineage: Bacteria; Bacillati; Bacillota; Bacilli; Caryophanales; Bacillaceae.
CAGAAGGGAGCUUGCUCCCGGAUGUUAGCGGCGGACGGGUGAGUAACACGUGGGUAACCUGCCUGUAAGACUGGGAUAACUCCGGGAAACCGGAGCUAAUACCGGAUAGUUCCUUGAACCGCAUGGUUCAAGGAUGAAAGACGGUUUCGGCUGUCACUUACAGAUGGACCCGCGGCGCAUUAGCUAGUUGGUGGGGUAAUGGCUCACCAAGGCGACGAUGCGUAGCCGACCUGAGAGGGUGAUCGGCCACACUGGGACUGAGACACGGCCCAGACUCCUACGGGAGGCAGCAGUAGGGAAUCUUCCGCAAUGGACGAAAGUCUGACGGAGCAACGCCGCGUGAGUGAUGAAGGUUUUCGGAUCGUAAAGCUCUGUUGUUAGGGAAGAACAAGUGCGAGAGUAACUGCUCGCACCUUGACGGUACCUAACCAGAAAGCCACGGCUAACUACGUGCCAGCAGCCGCGGUAAUACGUAGGUGGCAAGCGUUGUCCGGAAUUAUUGGGCGUAAAGGGCUCGCAGGCGGUUUCUUAAGUCUGAUGUGAAAGCCCCCGGCUCAACCGGGGAGGGUCAUUGGAAACUGGGAAACUUGAGUGCAGAAGAGGAGAGUGGAAUUCCACGUGUAGCGGUGAAAUGCGUAGAGAUGUGGAGGAACACCAGUGGCGAAGGCGACUCUCUGGUCUGUAACUGACGCUGAGGAGCGAAAGCGUGGGGAGCGAACAGGAUUAGAUACCCUGGUAGUCCACGCCGUAAACGAUGAGUGCUAAGUGUUAGGGGGUUUCCGCCCCUUAGUGCUGCAGCUAACGCAU